RNAcentral lists this ribosomal RNA (535 nucleotides) under uncultured bacterium. RNAcentral describes it as "partial 16S ribosomal RNA". It matches the Rfam family "Bacterial small subunit ribosomal RNA", at positions 355 to 907 of the family's 1533-position model. The record is from RNAcentral.
UGGGGAAUCUUGCGCAAUGGGCGAAAGCCUGACGCAGCCAUGCCGCGUGAGUGAUGAAGGCCUUAGGGUUGUAAAACUCUUUCACCGGGGACGAUAAUGACGGUACCCGGAGAAGAAGCCCCGGCUAACUUCGUGCCAGCAGCCGCGGUAAUACGAAGGGGGCUAGCGUUGCUCGGAAUUACUGGGCGUAAAGGGCGCGUAGGCGGAUCAGCAAGUUGGGGGUGAAAGCCCGGGGCUCAACCUCGGAAUUGCCUUCAAAACUGCUGAUCUAGAGUACGGGAGAGGUGUGUGGAACUCCGAGUGUAGAGGUGAAAUUCGUAGAUAUUCGGAAGAACACCAGUGGCGAAGGCGACACACUGGCCCGUUACUGACGCUGAGGCGCGAAAGCGUGGGGAGCAAACAGGAUUAGAUACCCUGGUAGUCCACGCUGUAAACGAUGAUUGCUAGUUGUCGGCAGGCAUGCCUGUCGGUGACGCAGCUAACGCAUUAAGCAAUCCGCCUGGGGAGUACGGUCGCAAGAUUAAAAACUCAAAUG